AUUGAACGUUGGCGGCAUGCUUUACACAUGCAAGUCGAACGGUAACAGGCCUUCGGGUGCUGACGAGUGGCGAACGGGUGAGUAAUGCAUCGGAACGUACCCAGAGGUGGGGGAUAACGCAGCGAAAGCUGUGCUAAUACCGCAUGUGAUCUGAGGAUGAAAGCGGGGGACCGAGCAGCAAUGUUUGGCCUCGCGCCUUUGGAGCGGCCGAUGUCGGAUUAGCUAGUUGGUGGGGUAAAGGCCUACCAAGGCGACGAUCCGUAGCUGGUCUGAGAGGACGACCAGCCACACUGGGACUGAGACACGGCCCAGACUCCUACGGGAGGCAGCAGUGGGGAAUUUUGGACAAUGGGCGCAAGCCUGAUCCAGCAAUGCCGCGUGCGGGAAGAAGGCCUUCGGGUUGUAAACCGCUUUUGGCAGGAACGAAACGGUGUCCGCUAAUACCGGGCGCUAAUGACGGUACCUGCAGAAUAAGCACCGGCUAACUACGUG
Molecule: ribosomal RNA, 492 nt
Filed under: uncultured bacterium
Lineage: Bacteria
Description: partial 16S ribosomal RNA
Rfam family: Bacterial small subunit ribosomal RNA
Source: RNAcentral